This 852-nucleotide small RNA is filed under the name Pan troglodytes (chimpanzee). RNAcentral's name for it is "retained intron". Lineage: Eukaryota; Metazoa; Chordata; Mammalia; Primates; Hominidae. The record is from RNAcentral.
CUUCCUUUCUUUAUGGCACAUCUAUCUUUUUGCCCAAUUAAUAGAAAAUCAUGCUAUUUUUCAUCAUCACAGUAUUUUUUUGCUAUGUUUUUAUUGUUGUUUUUACCAGACUGUUUCAGACUCCAAGCCAGAUUUGUCACUCCAGCUGAUCUUCUUUGAUGGUGAAGAGGCUUUUCUUCACUGGUCUCCUCAAGAUUCUCUCUAUGGGUCUCGACACUUAGCUGCAAAGAUGGCAUCGACCCCGCACCCACCUGGAGCGAGAGGCACCAGCCAAGUGCAUGGCAUGGAUUUAUUGGUCUUAUUGGAUUUGAUUGGAGCUCCAAACCCAACGUUUCCCAAUUUUUUUCCAAACUCAGCCAGAUGGUUCGAAAGACUUCAAGCAAUUGAACAUGAACUUCAUGAAUUGGGUUUGCUCAAGGAUCACUCUUUGGAGGGGCGGUAUUUCCAGAAUUACAGUUAUGGAGGUGUGAUUCAGGAUGACCAUAUUCCAUUUUUAAGAAGAGAUGUUCCAGUUCUGCAUCUGAUACCGUCUCCUUUCCCUGAAGUCUGGCACACCAUGGAUGAUAAUGAAGAAAAUUUGGAUGAAUCAACCAUUGACAAUCUAAACAAAAUCCUACAAGUCUUUGUGUUGGAAUAUCUUCAUUUGUAAUACUCUGAUUUAGUUUAUGAUAAUUGGUUCUAGAAUUGAAUUCAAAAGUCAAGGCAUCAUUUAAAAUAAUCUGAUUUCAGACAAAUGCUGUGUGGAAACAUCUAUCCUAUAGAUCAUCCUAUUCUUAUGUGUCUUUGGUUAUCAGAUCAAUUACAGAAUAAUUGUGUUGUGAUAUUGUGUCCUAAAUUACUCAUUAAUUUUUA